GUGAGGAAUAUUGGACAAUGGGCGCAAGCCUGAUCCAGCCAUGCCGCGUGCAGGAAGACGCAUCUAUGGUGUGUAAACUGCUUUUGUACGGGAAGAAACACUCCCUCGUGAGGGAGCUUGACGGUACCGUAAGAAUAAGGAUCGGCUAACUCCGUGUCAGCAGCCGCGGUAAUACGGAGGAUCCAAGCGUUAUCCGGAAUCAUUGGGUUUAAAGGGUCCGUAGGCGGUUUAAUAAGUCAGUGGUGAAAGCCCAUCGCUCAACGAUGGAACGGCCAUUGAUACUGUUAGACUUGAAUUACAAGGAAGUAACUAGAAUAUGUAGUGUAGCGGUGAAAUGCUUAGAUAUUACAUGGAAUACCAAUUGCGAAGGCAGGUUACUACUUGUGGAUUGACGCUGAUGGACGAAAGCGUGGGGAGCGAACAGGAUUAGAUACCCGGGUAGUCC
RNAcentral lists this ribosomal RNA (445 nucleotides) under uncultured bacterium. RNAcentral describes it as "partial 16S ribosomal RNA". It matches the Rfam family "Bacterial small subunit ribosomal RNA", at positions 354 to 796 of the family's 1533-position model. The record is from RNAcentral.